AGGACGAACGCUGGCGGCGCGCUUAACACAUGCAAGUCGAACGUGAAGCUGGAGCUUGCUCCGGUGGAAAGUGGCGAACGGGUGCGUAACACGUGAGCAACCUGCCCCGAAGACUGGGAUAACACCGGGAAACCGGUGCUAAUACCGGAUACCUUCUUCCGAUCGCAUGGUUGGAUGAAGAAAUGGAUUCCGCUUCGGGAUGGGCUCGCGGCCUAUCAGCUUGUUGGUGAGGUAACGGCCCACCAAGGCGACGACGGGUAGCUGGUCUGAGAGGACGACCAGCCACACUGGGACUGAGACACGGCCCAGACUCCUACGGGAGGCAGCAGUGGGGAAUCUUGCUCAAUGGGCGAAAGCCUGAAGCAGCGACGCCGCGUGCGGGAUGAAGGCCCUCGGGUUGUAAACCGCUUUCAGCAGGGACGAAUUGACGGUACCUGCAGAAGAAGGCCCGGCCAACUACGCGCCAGCAGCCGCGGUAA
RNAcentral lists this ribosomal RNA (479 nucleotides) under uncultured bacterium. Its description in RNAcentral is "SSU rRNA". It matches the Rfam family "Bacterial small subunit ribosomal RNA", at positions 26 to 523 of the family's 1533-position model. The record is from RNAcentral.